AUUGAACGCUGGCGGCGUGCUUAACACAUGCAAGUCGAGCGGUAACAGGUGUAGCAAUACAUGCUGACGAGCGGCGAACGGGUGAGUAAUGCUUCGGAAUCUGCCCAGUAGUGGGGAAUAACCAGCCGAAAGGUUGGCUAAUACCGCAUACGACCUGAGGGUGAAAGCGGGGGAUCGCAAGACCUUGCGCUAUUGGAUGAGCCGAAGUCGGAUUAGCAGUUGGUAGGGUAACGGCCUACCAAGGCGACAAUCCGUAGCUGGUCUGAGAGGACGACCAGCCACACUGGGACUGAGACACGGCCCAGACUCCUACGGGAGGCAGCAGUGGGGAAUAUUGGACAAUGGGGAAACCCUGAUCCAGCGACGCCGCGUGUGUGAAGAAGGCCUGCGGGUUGU
Molecule: ribosomal RNA, 396 nt
Filed under: uncultured bacterium
Lineage: Bacteria
Description: bacterial SSU rRNA
Rfam family: Bacterial small subunit ribosomal RNA
Source: RNAcentral